Molecule: ribosomal RNA, 253 nt
Filed under: uncultured bacterium
Lineage: Bacteria
Description: partial 16S ribosomal RNA
Rfam family: Bacterial small subunit ribosomal RNA
Source: RNAcentral
GACGAACCGUGCGAACGUUGUUCGGAAUCACUGGGCUUAAAGGGCGCGUAGGCGGGUCACCAAGUCUGUGGUGAAAGCCUCCAGCUUAACUGGAGAAGUGCCGUGGAUACUGGUGGUCUCGAGGGAGGUAGGGGCAUGUGGAACUUCCGGUGGAGCGGUGAAAUGCGUAGAUAUCGGAAGGAACGCCGGUGGCGAAAGCGACGUGCUGGACCUCUUCUGACGCUGAGGCGCGAAAGCUAGGGGAGCAAACGGG